UGAGACACAUGGGCACACCUUGUACCUUGUCUCUGUGAGAUGAUGAUGGCGUUCUCUCUCUGCCACACCUCUUCUUUCUUCAUCGUUCACCGCUUACCACAACAAACUUUGAUAAGAACAAGACGAAUUCAUUUCCCAUUGAUUCGUGCAGUGCAAUCAGGGGAAUCAGAAACUGAAAAGUCUACACAGAAAAAGACUGAAGAAUCACCAUCUUCAACUGCUGCUGCUUCUCCUCCUCCUAGACCAAAGAAACCCGUCUAUUCUAUGAAGAAGGGCCAGAUUGUGAGAGUGGACAAAGAAAAAUAUCUCAACAGCAUCAAUGUAAGAACCUCAACCAUUUUGUUGUCCCUUUCUCCCAUGUUUUUGGCUCGAGAUAUAAUGAUGUUUUUUUACCUGAUGAACAUUGAGAUUUGAGACUGGUGUUUCAGUAUUUCUGUUGGGCAUCCGCCAUACUACAAAGGAUUGGAUUACAUCUAUGAAGACCGUGGGGAGGUCCUGGAUAUGCGUAUAUUUGAAACAGGGGAGUAUGCACUUUUAAAAUUGACAGAUUGCAUGGGUAGGAAUCCCCACUGCCCCCGCUUGGCUUCCAACAGACAUGCUUAUCAAGUCAGAGAAGCUCAAUUAUGAGAGGCUAUGAUCUGCAGUUUGGUACAGACAUAUGCUAAAUAUUUAGAUCAGUAAAAUUUCAUUUUCCGGUGUUGUAAGAAAGUAUGAUUAAAGAAGCCUGGCUUGAAAUACCAAAUGAAUUCUGUCUCAUCUAUAGUCUAGAUUCAACAUUUCAAAAGAUCCAGAAGUUUUUGGAGAUCACUAUCGUUGAUUCAUUGUAUAUGUGCCUGGUUAUAAUUAAUAAAUAAAGGCUAUAGUAUA
Arachis stenosperma is the source of this 867-nucleotide RNA transcript. It is a transcript of the gene named NAD(P)H-quinone oxidoreductase subunit O, chloroplastic, with no coding region annotated. The record is from RefSeq and is a predicted model, not a curated record. Lineage: Eukaryota; Viridiplantae; Streptophyta; Magnoliopsida; Fabales; Fabaceae. The transcript has 5 exons.